RNAcentral lists this ribosomal RNA (301 nucleotides) under uncultured bacterium. RNAcentral describes it as "partial 16S ribosomal RNA". It matches the Rfam family "Bacterial small subunit ribosomal RNA", at positions 509 to 807 of the family's 1533-position model. The record is from RNAcentral.
CAGCCGCCGCGGGAAUACCGAGGGUGCAAGCGUUAAUCGGAAUUACUGGGCGUAAAGCGUGCGCAGGCGGUGUUGUAAGACUGAUGUGAAAUCCCCGGGCUCAACCUGGGAACUGCAUUGGUGACUGCAACGCUGGAGUGCGGCAGAGGGGGAUGGAAUUCCGCGUGUAGCAGUGAAAUGCGUAGAUAUGCGGAGGAACACCGAUGGCGAAGGCAAUCCCCUGGGCCUGCACUGACGCUCAUGCACGAAAGCGUGGGGAGCAAACAGGAUUAGAUACCCCCGUAGUCCCUGUCUCUUAUAC